RNAcentral lists this ribosomal RNA (490 nucleotides) under uncultured bacterium. RNAcentral's name for it is "partial 16S ribosomal RNA". It matches the Rfam family "Bacterial small subunit ribosomal RNA", at positions 28 to 507 of the family's 1533-position model. The record is from RNAcentral.
GAUGAACGCUAGCUACAGGCUUAACACAUGCAAGUCGCGGGGCAGCAUGGGGGUUGCUUGCAAUCCCCGAUGGCGACCGGCGCACGGGUGAGUAACGCGUAUCCAACCUGCCCUUCACCACGGGAUAACCCGGCGAAAGUCGGACUAAUACCGUAUGUUGUCCAUUGACGGCGUCCGAUUUGGACGAAAGGUUUGGCGGUGAAGGAUGGGGAUGCGUCCGAUUAGCUGGACGGCGGGGUGACGGCCCACCGUGGCGACGAUCGGUAGGGGUUCUGAGAGGAAGGUCCCCCACACUGGAACUGAGACACGGUCCAGACUCCUACGGGAGGCAGCAGUGAGGAAUAUUGGUCAAUGGGCGUAAGCCUGAACCAGCCAAGUAGCGUGCAGGAUGACGGCCCUAUGGGUUGUAAACUGCUUUUAUGCGGGGAUAAAGUGGCCCACGUGUGGGUUUUUGCAGGUACCGCAUGAAUAAGGACCGGCUAAUUCCGUG